This 395-nucleotide ribosomal RNA is filed under the name uncultured bacterium. RNAcentral describes it as "bacterial SSU rRNA". It matches the Rfam family "Bacterial small subunit ribosomal RNA", at positions 505 to 898 of the family's 1533-position model. The record is from RNAcentral.
GUGCCAGCAGCCGCGGUAAUACGGAGGGUGCAAGCGUUAGUCGGAAUUACUGGGCGUAAAGGGCGCGUAGGCGGGAAUGUAAGUCAGAUGUGAAAUACCGAAGCUCAACUUCGGCUGUGCAUCUGAAACUGCGUUUCUAGAGGAAAAGUGGAGAAAACGGAAUUCCAUGUGUAGCGGUGAAAUGCGUAGAUAUAUGGAAGAACACCUGUGGCGAAAGCGGUUUUCUAACUUACUCCUGACGCUGAGGCGCGAAAGCAAGGGGAGCAAACAGGAUUAGAUACCCUGGUAGUCCUUGCCCUAAACGAUGUAUACUUGGUGUAGAAAGGCUCAACCCUGACUGUACCGUAGCUAACGCGAUAAGUAUACCGCCUGGGGAGUACGCUCGCAAGGGUAAA